Molecule: ribosomal RNA, 141 nt
Filed under: uncultured bacterium
Lineage: Bacteria
Description: partial 16S rRNA
Rfam family: Bacterial small subunit ribosomal RNA
Source: RNAcentral
UGGGGAAUUUUCCGCAAUGGGCGAAAGCCUGACGGAGCAAUGCCGCGUGGAGGUGGAAGGCCUACGGGUCGUCAACUUCUUUUCUCGGAGAAGAAACAAUGACGGUAUCUGAGGAAUAAGCAUCGGCUAACUCUUUGCCUG